UACGUAGGGUGCGAGCGUUAAUCGGAAUUACUGGGCGUAAAGCGUGCGCAGGCGGUUCGUUAAGUCAGAUGUGAAAGCCCCGGGCUCAACCUGGGAAUGGCAUUGGAAACUGGCGGACUCGAGUGUGGCAGAGGGGGGUGGAAUUCCGCGUGUAGCAGUGAAAUGCGUAGAGAUGCGGAGGAACACCGAUGGCGAAGGCAGCCCCCUGGGCUAACACUGACGCUCAGGCACGAAAGCGUGGGGAGCAAACAGG
This 253-nucleotide ribosomal RNA is filed under the name uncultured bacterium. Its description in RNAcentral is "partial 16S ribosomal RNA". It matches the Rfam family "Bacterial small subunit ribosomal RNA", at positions 524 to 776 of the family's 1533-position model. The record is from RNAcentral.